This 398-nucleotide ribosomal RNA is filed under the name uncultured bacterium. RNAcentral's name for it is "bacterial SSU rRNA". It matches the Rfam family "Bacterial small subunit ribosomal RNA", at positions 975 to 1375 of the family's 1533-position model. The record is from RNAcentral.
CAGGACUUGACGUCCCUCGCUAUAGGCGGAAACGUCUAGUUCCCUUCGGGGACGAGGAGACAGGUGGUGCACGGUUGUCGUCAGCUCGUGUCGUGAGAUGUUGGGUUAAGUCCCGCAACGAGCGCAACCCCUAUCCUUAGUUGCCAGCGUAAAGACGGGCACUCUAGGGAGACUGCCGGUGUAAACCGGAGGAAGGCGGGGAUGACGUCAAAUCAUCAUGCCCCUCAUGUCCUGGGCUACACACGUGCUACAAUGGGCUGUACAAAGGGAAGCGAUACCGCGAGGAGGAGCAAAUCCCAUAAAACAGCUCUCAGUUCAGAUCGUAGGCUGCAACUCGCCUACGUGAAGAUGGAGUUGCUAGUAAUCGCCGGUCAGCAUACGGCGGUGAAUGCGUUCCC